Molecule: transfer RNA, 73 nt
Filed under: Paramuricea clavata
Lineage: Eukaryota; Metazoa; Cnidaria; Anthozoa; Malacalcyonacea; Plexauridae
Rfam family: tRNA
About the family: Transfer RNA (tRNA) molecules are approximately 80 nucleotides in length. Their secondary structure includes four short double-helical elements and three loops (D, anti-codon, and T loops). Further hydrogen bonds mediate the characteristic L-shaped molecular structure. tRNAs have two regions of fundamental functional importance: the anti-codon, which is responsible for specific mRNA codon recognition, and the 3' end, to which the tRNAs corresponding amino acid is attached (by aminoacyl-tRNA synthetases). tRNAs cope with the degeneracy of the genetic code in two manners: having more than one tRNA (with a specific anti-codon) for a particular amino acid; and 'wobble' base-pairing, i.e. permitting non-standard base-pairing at the 3rd anti-codon position.
Source: Rfam by way of RNAcentral
GACCACGUAGCUCAGUUGGCAGAGCAUUGGGCUAGUAUUCCAAAGGUCGUAGGUUCGAUUCCCACUGUGGCUA